RNAcentral lists this long non-coding RNA (16406 nucleotides) under Triticum aestivum (bread wheat). RNAcentral's name for it is "long non-coding RNA (TAES_LNC028550)". The record is from RNAcentral. Lineage: Eukaryota; Viridiplantae; Streptophyta; Magnoliopsida; Poales; Poaceae.
UAGUGGGGAAAAAGAUGACAGAUCCUAAAUGGCUGACAAUUUAGUGGCAUUAUUCUUUGACAAACUCAAGGUAGCAGUACUAUUUUUAGCAAGUUCAUAUGCAAAAUCAUUACAAUAGGUACCCUCGACAUAGGUUGUAGGGAAAGUGCAUAUGUGAAAUCAUUACUGUACCUCCUUUUUUUGUUCAUACAUUCAUAUAUGGCAAUGUCCUUGCUGUUAGUUAACUAUGCCUAAAGAAAAGUGCCUAAGAUAUGAAUCAGAUUACCUGAAUUAGUAGCUGGAAGAACUCUGCCAUGUACUAUACAGCCUAAUGUACCAGGUUGACACCUAAGAAAUGGAUAUUUAGUGUCCAUAUUUCCCUAUCACAGUAUAAGAUAAUAUUAAAUCAAAUCAAAGGUCCCUGUGCGUUGCAACGGGAUGAAAAAAAUAGAAACAUGGAUCCUUUGCUAAAAGAGAACAUCAUGCUCUCAUCUUCAUACCUGCUACCAUGCUUCGCUUUCCUCCGGUGCAGUCUCCCUCUUUUCUCUCAACAUCGCAUGCUUCGCAACGGAGAAACACCAGAUUCCGAGUGCCCUCGCCGUGCAUCAAUGACAGGUGCAAUUUGGUUGAGCGAGGGAACUUUCUGCUCAAUGACACGGGCUUUGGCGAACACCUUGAAGCGUUUCGCGCCUAUGAUUCCGCAGUUGUGAGCCUGGUGACGAGCUAGUCAGGAAGAGCCAAGCUCAGAAUCAUGAGCGCCUCCUCAACUAUUAGAAAGCCUUCUCAGUUAAGAGCAUCAAUUUCACAAAGAUGAUACCCUCAAACUUUCGAUAGAUAAAAUCUGCAAAUAUUCCUUCAAGUCAAAGAAACUGUUAUAUUAAAUUUUCUCAUGGAGAGCUCACCACAUGUUCUUCCAUACUUGCUUCGAAAAGGCGUUUAAUAUGUAAUCUGCAUUAGACUAAAUAAUUUUCUAUGUUGAGCUUCCAAAUCAUCUCCUAAAUUUAAAGCCUAGACAAUCUGUGAGAUACUAAAUGACUGAACUUCUUUGAACCUUGUACUCAUAGUACAGUAAAAAAAAUUGCCCACAUGAUAAAUUCUGACAUUCGCUAGUGUGAAAUGGAAAACAAAAGCUGCUGCUACAUACCUUGACAUACGGCAGCAACAACAUCCAAACACAAAUAGCGGGCACCUUCAGCGAGCAGAGCAUGCAGCGUCUGGUCAGGGGAAGUGAAGAAACUUCACCAUCAUACAACGUUGUUGAUGUACACGAACCAAGCCUCACAGGUUGUUUGCUCUAGGUCCAUCUCUUUUGUAAAUCUGAAAUUGAGUGUAAUUGUUGAUCUUGGUCAAUGAGAGGCAAGAUCCAUGGAGGAAGAUUGGAUAUGUGGGUUAGAACUUGGUCUUGAACAUGGUGUCGGGAUGCUGUGGACGCAGUCAGGGCACAGCUGGUAGAAAGUCAAUGAGGAAUCAUCCGUCGAGUCCUUGUCCUAUAGACCAAUGAUUAUUAGUAAAAAAAUAUUUCAACAACUCAUUUUCUAGUGUUAGAUAUAUACCGUAGUAAGAAAAAAUAUGCAUAGAUGUGGAAGAAUAUCCAAUCUAAAAACUUAGUUAAUUUGUAAACUAUUAGUACUUACAACAUGAUGGGGUUGAAGUUCAUGAAGUUGCUCGGCCUAAACGGCAAGCGGUAUGGACAAACGUGGAUUUCUCGCCUAGGUGUCCUUUUGGAGCUCGGUGGCCGGAGGAUCUCCAUUAAUCAAUUGUCUCUAAGCGCAACCGGGUUCACCUCCCGGUCACGGUCAUAUGAAGAUCAAGAUUGAUCUCAAAACUCCUCAGGCAUCACCAUAAGUCGUAACAGAAAGAACGCCAUCGUACUUGAGGGCGCGGGGUCCUCGGCGUCCUCGGUCUUCUCGGCCAUGGGCGAUGCCGACGGUGGGCUCCUUCCUGCCAUAGCCCUCAGUGCGGCGGAAAUAGGGUGAUUGUGACAACAUUUAAUAGGUAUUUAAAAUAGAGAAGCAUUUGAGUAGAUAAAAAAAGUAACAAUUGCUAUGGUUAAUUGAUUGUUAUACUGGUGAUAUAUACCUGAAGUCCUGAACCAACCCAUGAUAUUGGUUGAUGUCAAAAAAAACAUGAUACGGUUAGUCUGCAUCUUUGACAUCUCCACAAUGAUGGAUUUACCUUUUAUGUGGCCAAAGCACUGUCAGAGUAUGCAUCAUCUUAUAAUUGCACAAAAAGUAUUGCGUAUGUUAGAAGUUUGAAUUAGGAUUCAAUCAAAGAACCUGGUAAUAGCUGAACAUAAAUUAGGAUAAAAUUGCAAUAAUAAUGGCCAUCAAUAGUUGCAACAGGAAGAAGAGGCAGAUCGAUAGCAUGCAGGUUUACCAAUAACAAUGUUCACCAAUAAUUAUUAUCACCAACCAUAGCUGUUUUCUGUUUGUAAUAGGAAUGUUUAGGAAAUUAGAAGCACAAACUCACCUUCUAACGCACAUGAGCACACCUGCACAUAUGGUGCUUCCUUCUGGCCAUUUUUUUUGGGUGGCUUGCUCUCAUCCUCGAGGUACCAAGAAUACGCACGGAGCUUUUUAAAUUCAGUCGCGCUCUUCAUGAACUCUAGAUCCCGAUUUUGUCCAAAAGUGGAUACGGGUGUAAAGGUAGUACCUGGGGUUGGGGCAACAUCAUAUUCCUCCUCUGUCGUCUUCCCUAAACUCCUUUCUCUUGGCAAAAUUUGGACUGUAGCACUGCUUUCAAUUGUCUGAAACCAACAAAAUGUCUGCACAACAUUCCCAUAUGCCUGAAAAUAUUCUGGACGCGCACACUUAACUUCACAUCCAGUUUCACUGAUGCACCUAGACACAACCAAGGACAUUGAUUUGAAGAACUCAUCUUCAAACUUUUUGUAUAUCUCGCUUGUGUAAAUUUCACAAUCUUCAAUCUCGAGAUGCCCCAAUUGUUUUUUCAUUGUUUCUGUUGGCAAAAAUUGAUGAGGUGCUUUGAGAUUCUUGAUGAAAAUCAUAAGAACUGGAUUGAUCUCACUGUGUGAGUUCCACUGCCUCUUCUCUUCACAAAUUGCAGACAGAGGGUGAUUUUGCUCGUUGCUGAAUAUGCUCACAUACCAACCUGCUUUGCAUGGAGGAGACGCAUCCUCGCCUUCGUUCUGUUUUGUACGAAGAAGAAUUAUCAUUGUCCCUCUUAACCUGCACGCCGAAAACCAAACAAGACAAUGACAAUCCUUGCUACAAUAGAAAUGCCAAGCAAUUUCAAAGCAUGGAAAAAAUUCAAGCGCAAGACCAUCAUGGAGUGGCUGGGGAAACGACAAGAAUAUAGUUGUACUACAAUUUCAAGCAAGACGCUAUGUAACUAAUCUAGCAGCAGCACACAAUUUUGUGCAUCAACUGGUAACGUGCAUGCCCUCAUCUCGGCUUUCCAUGAUGAAUUCCAAAACCAUCCUCCUAAGCGAAUAGCUUAUACUGUCCGUACGCUUCUUGGCAUGAAUCAAAUGGCAUGCCUUCUACAGGAGCAAAAGUGUCGGCCGAGUGCUUGCCUUCAGAGUUUAGAAGACAUCUUCCAAUCGAGUUCAUCUUGCUUGGGGUUUCUCUGAUCGCAAGUCCAGUUUGAAUCCAGUUCCUGAACCAAAGAAUCAACCGUCAGACUGAAUUUUAGCAGGGAGGGAAAGGGGAGAGGAGCACUCACGAUUGUCGAAUCAGCAGCAUUGCAAGGCAAGAUAUGCACUCAGUGUUCUGAAAAUCUGCAGAACAGAUCAUGAAACAUAAAUGUACCCUGCAUACAAAAGAAGACCAAGAUCAAUAAAUGUGUAAAAUUGAGAACCACCAAAUCUGAUUCAAUCACAAAAGAACAAGGGAGAGCUUAUGCUAUCCUGCUGCUCGGCCACGGUCAUCGCCGGCGAGCACCCCGUCGAGGACUACCGCAACACAUCCGCAAACCUGGCCCUGUCGCUGUUCUCCAUGUCCGGGCCAGUCGGGGGAAUGGAACAGAGAUGGAGGAGGGAGAAGGGAGAGGAGAGAAGAGGGGGAAAGAGGAAGGGGUGGAUAUACCUGUGAUAACGGGGAGGCGGCAGUGCGGGACGGGAAGAGUCGCCGUCGGCGGGCAGGAUGAAGAGCUGGCGGCUCCUACCCUAGCUUGCGCGUGAGAACUGCAUCCGUCGCACACAACCAGGGCAUCCAUCGUCUGCCGUCGUGCUCCAGCGAGCCGGCGACCGAGGGUUGCCUGGAGCGGAGGUGGAGGCGACCAGAGCCGGCGGCGGCGCGGCGCCGAGGUUGGUGCAACGGCGAGCUCGGGCGGUGAGGCGGCGGGGCAGAAGCUACAGGAGACGGCGGCGGGGACCUCGAGGCCGAGCUCAGGCCAUGGCUUCCCUGGCUCCAGAGGCCGUGGCGGCGCCGGACGCAGCGGCGGGGCGAGGAGGAGGCCGGCCGUCGGGGAGGCAGGAGCUCCUCGUCCCCUCGAUCCAGAUCGGGAUCGAGGAGGGAGCAACAGGGGCGCGAGGGAGCGGGCGACCCGCGGGCGGCGGUCGGGGCGUGCGGGUGGGGGUAAUUUGAUGGAAAAAACCGGAGAAAAAAAACCAAUCGAAAAAAAACCAGAUGAAAGUGGGGGGACUAUUCAACCAACUCGUCCAUUAGGAGUAGAGAUGAGUCCACCAUACCUUCCUAUAUGCGGUAUCUACCUGCCGUUCCAAGUAAAUUUGUAUGUGCCAAACUCUAAACCUUCAAAUAAACAUUCUGUUUUGUAUGCUCGAAUAGCUCAUGUAUCAACUAGGGCUGCCCUUAUCUUCCAUGUUAGGCGGGUUAUUCUCAAGAGGAGUGGACUCCGCUCCUCACUCACGAGAAAAUGGCUGGUCACCGGGAUGCCCAGUCCCAUGCUUUAUGCAAACUAAAUCAAAAUAAUUGCAAACAAAACUCCCCCUGGGACUGUUGCUAGUUGGAGACACUCGUUGUUUCGAGCAAGUCAUGGAUUGAUGCUUGUUGGUGGAGGGGGAGUAUAAACUUUACCAUUCUGUUUGGGAACCGCCUAUAAUGUGUGUAGCAUGGAAGAUAUCGCCAUCUCUUGGUUGUUAUGUUGACAAUGAAAGUAUGCCGCUCAAAAUAUUAUUUAUCUCUAUUUCAAAAUCAAGCUCUGGCACCUCUACAAAUCCCUGCUUCCCUCUGCGAAGGGCCUAUCUAUUUACUUCUAUGUUGAGUCAUCACCCUCUUAUUAAAAAGCACUAGCUGGAGAGCACAACUGUCAUUUGCAUCCAUUACUAUUAAUUUAUAUUGGGUAUGACUGGAUCUCUUUUACCAUGAAUUACAAUGUCUAGUCAGUCCUUGAUCUUUAAAGGUGCUCUGCAUUUAUGUUUUGCGGUCUCAGAAAGGGCUAGCGAGAUACCAUCUUGUUAUAUCAUAUUAUGAUUGUUUUGAGAAAGUGUUGUCAUCCGAGAUUUAUUAUUAUGGCUCGCUAGUUGAUUAUGCCAUUGAUAUGAGUAAACAUGAGACCAGAGAGUUAUUGCAAAUGUGGUUAGUCAUAAUCUUUGCUGAAAACUUGAAUGCUGGCUUUACAUAUUUACAACAACAAGAGCAAACAGAGUUUGUAAAAGUUUUUCUUUAUCACUUUCAGUUUAUCAACUAAAUUGCUUGAGGACAAGCAAAGGUUUAAGCUUGGGGGAGUUGAUACGUCUCAGACGUAUCUACUUUUCCAAACACUUUUGCCCUUGUUUUGGACUCUAACUUGCAUCAUUUGAAUAGAACUAACCCGGACUGACGUUGUUUGCAGACUUUCCAUGGUGUUAUUUAUGUGCAGAAACAAAAGUUCUCGGAAUGACCUGAAACUCCACGGAACGUCUAUUUGGAAAUAAUAAAAAAAUCCUUGUAAAAGAUGAAUACCAGGGGGCCCACACCUUGUCCACGAGGGUGGGGGGGCGCGCCCUCCCCCCUAGGGCGCGCCCCCUACCUCGUGGCCCCCCUGGAGCUCCACCGACCUCAACUCCAACUCUAUAUAUUUGCUUUCGGGGAGAAAAAAAUCAGAGAGAAGAAUUCAUCGCGCUUUACGAUACAGAGCCGCCGCCAAGCCCUAAAACCUCGCGGGAGGGCUGAUCUGGAGUCCGUUCGGGGCUCCGGAGAGGGGGAUUCGUCGCCGUCGUCAUCAUCAACCAACCUCCAUCACCAAUUUCAUGAUGCUCACCGUCGUGCAUGAGUAAUUCCAUCGUAGGCUUGCUGGACGGUGAUGGGUUGGAUGAGAUCUAUCAUGUAAUCGAGUUAGUUUUGUUAGGGCUUGAUCCCUAGUAUCCACUAUGUUCGGAGAUUGAUGUUGCUAUGACUUUGCUAUGCUUAAUGCUUGUCACUAGGGCCCGAGUGCCAUGAUUUCAGAUCUGAACCUAUUAUGUUUUCAUGAAUAUAUGUGUGUUCUUGAUCCUAUCUUGCAAGUCUAUAGUCACCUACUAUGUGUUAUGAUCCGGCAACCCCGAAGUGACAAUAAUCGGGACCACUCCCGGUGAUGACCAUAGUUUGAGGAGUUCAUGUAUUCACUAUGUGCUAAUGCUUUGUUCCGGUACUCUAUUAAAAGGAGGCCUUAAUAUCCCUUACUUUCCAUUAGGACCCCGCUGCCAUGGGAGGGUAGGACAAAAGAUGUCAUGCAAGGUCUUUUCCAUAAGCACGUAUGAUUAUAUUCGGAAUACAUGCCUACAUUACAUUGAUGAAUUGGAGCUAGUUCUGUGUCUCCCUAUGUUAUGAUUGUUAUAUGAUGAACCGCAUCCGGCAUAAUUCUCCAUCACCGAUCCAAUGCCUACGAGCUUUUCCUAUAUUGUUCUACGCUUAUUUACUAUUCCGUUGCUACUGUUACAAUCACUACAAAAUACCAAAAAUAUUACUUUUACUACUGUUACCUUUUGUUACUGUUACCACUACUAUCAUAUUACUUUGCUACUAAAUACUUUGCUGCAGGUACUAAGUUAUCCAGGUGUGGUUGAAUUGACAACUCAACUGCUAAUAGUUGAGAAUAAUCUUUGGCUCCCCUUGUGUCGAAUCAAUAAAUUUAGGUUGAAUACUCUACCCUCGAAAACUGUUGCGAUCCCCUAUGCUUGUGGGUUAUCAGCCGCUGGCUUUGUUGCAGGCGUGAAACAUGUCUUUUUGAAGGCUGGCUCCCGUGUCGGCGGCUGGCUUUGUUGCCGGCAGACUAUAGGCUGCCGGCUGUGUUGCUGGCCGGCGUGAACUAGUGUGAAACGCGGCCGCGGCUUAAAUCCUUGGUUUCUCACUUUUGCAUGCACGGGGACAAGAUGCGGCCGUGUGUUGGACGCUCGGCCGACGCAUCCACAAAUUCGGACGGACACGACCCCAUCCCCACCUCUAAACGGACGAAAUCCGGACAAAACAGACGUCUGUUUGAGGUCGCGUGUUGGAGUUGGCCUAACAUUUGAGAGAAAGACAAAAUGCUUCAAGCGUAACCCAGCAAAGCAAAAAAGGUUGGUUCGGCUAGGUUUUCUCAAAUGUUAGCCGACAUUUGAGAAAACCUAGCCGAACCAACCUUUUUUGCUUUGCUGAACAUUUGAGAAAACCUAUUCCACAUUUUUUUUGAGAAAACCUGGGCGUUUAUUUGAAGUUACCAUCCAUCGCCAUCAAAGCAAAGAUGCGUAUAUGCCCCACAGUUUUUUUUACUAGAGAGAGGCCAAGAAACUGAGGUCGUUUGGAACAUUGCAUAUGUCGUUGUCCUUGUUGUCGUGUGCUUGCGGAGGGACGGCUGGGGAUGUCACGCUCUCCAUCCAACUUGUUUAUUUGCGAUUUCAAAAAAGCAGUUAAUGUCGGUUUUAAGCGCGAUUUAACAAAUCCAACAUGGCAGCCAAUCCUCCCCCUCACCUAGGCCCUAGCUAACCGUAAGUUGACCUACUUGGCUGCUUUGGAUGCAGUCGUGCAUGAUGAUGGUGUGUUGCUGGUUGUCAUGGCUCUUGUGUGGUGCUAGCAUCACACCAUAGAGGUAUGGUAAUAAUCUGUUUUUAUUUGUCUUAGUCUCGAUCAAAUGGCACCGAGUUAGGGUUUUUUUUCUUCUUCGGGUAGAAAAUUAAUUACGUUUGGCCUGCUCGUUUCGGUUUUCCCACCAUGUUACAUAAAUCCAACACGACUGAGAUUUGGAGCGUUGUGUUUGGACGACACAAAGUCGAACUCCGACUCCCACGAUCCCAUCAAGAUCACGGAAGAGCCUUGACAUGACCCAGUCACCUCAAUCACUGUUCAGGUUUCCACAUCGAGAUCGCUGUUCGGGUCUCAACAUUUUCAGCGCCGCUAAUCACCGCAGCGCACGGUGACAUUUGACACGAACGCCUCAACCCUAAGAAUCGGACCAGAGAGUAGUAGUACAACUGUAGAAGAGAACAGAGUCGGACCUAGGUGCCAUCUGAGCCACACUGGCCAGUGGCCACCAGGAAACGCCUCCCUCGAGAACCUAGGACCGGGGCGUGGAGGAGAACAAAGUCUGCCUGACCCGCACGCGCACUAGCCCCUGCCUACCCACAUCCAUCCAUCUACAUGCGAUCUGAACCUCAACACGAAGCAAAACCGUCCAUUACGAAAGGCACUUUAGAUCAGUGUAAACACAUCUAGCUAGCAAGGUCGGCAAGGGAAAACGAAUCGGUGGAUCAAGCUGGCUGGCGCCGUCGACAGAUCACUCCCCGGCCUCUUUUUCCUGCGGGUCAAAAUCAAACCCGUCCUCCUUUUCUCGGCGAGGCCAGCGACGGAUCGACGACGCCGACCGACCGACCGACGAGCCGCCCGCCCUUUCGGCCAGGAUGAGUAGCGACAGACAGAGGGGGAGGCCCGCGACAGGGACCAAGAACAAGAAUACGGGCAUUCAAAUGCAAAUACCCAAGCCUCUAUUCCAGGCAAGGUUUUUGCCCCAACAUUCACCCACUUGUGUGAAAGUGACCCAUGGUGAAUUGUGUACAUGACACGUGCUAUUAUUUUGGUAAAUGGCUGUGUAUAAAUGCGCUGUGUAUUCAGCUUUUCGUUUGAAAUUUUGUCAACGUGUGUGCUGAAUUCUUGGGUGCGGUUAGCGAUUUUGCCGCUCUAUGGUGAAAAACGGAGCCGCUUCCAUCACCUGAUCUGAAGGGUUCUUGCGUUUUUUGAUCGGUGCCGCUUUCAUGUUUCGAUCUAGAGUCUGCUUUUUGUUUCUGGUUUGCGCCGCUGUAAUCGUUUGAUCUCGAAACCUCGCCACAUACCACCAUCGCUUACGUCCUGGGGGUUAUAAAUAGAUCGCCCUUCUUCUCAUAUCAUUGUGCUAGGUUUUCUUUGGGUUAGCAUAUACUGUUUCUAUGGUAUAUCCUUCUUCCUGUCGUAAUGGACCGCGACGUCCUGCUCGGCCUCCUCCGUCGCGGGGAGCUCUGGUUCGCCGGUGUGGUGGUUCGGGUUGUCUUGCUGCGUCGGCCGUUGUCUCGGCUCGGCCCGUAUGUAUGGAGCAUGCUUCGUCCUCUGAUGAUCGGCCGUUGCCGCCGCCGCGCCCUGGCUGUCGGCAACUCGCUGCUGCUGCCCCGGGCCUCCUAAUCUCCCUUGACCUUCUUUGCGGUGCUGGCGGGCCUGGUGAGGAUCAGCCACAGCUUCGGCUCCGGCAUCGCCCUGAGUCCGUCCAACCGGCCGUCUGCGACCGACGGUGACUACGUUGAAGAUGUUGUCGAUUGGUUACGGGAUGCGCGGAAACCGGGUGUCCCGGUGGCCGGCGCUUGCGUAUCCCCUUGGAGGGGCCAUGGUCUCCGCUCGGACAUAGUAGGACGCCCUGUUCGGGGAGCAUAGAUCCUGCGGCAACAACCUCUACGACAAUGAUGACGACAUCACCACCGCCGGAUAACGAUCACUUGCCAGUGCGAGCGGUGUGACAGUGGCGAGGGCGGAUGCUCCUGGUGCAGCAGACAGCAGGUUGCUCUGUGGCACCGACAAGGGGUUAGGUUGCAGCGUCGGGGCAUAGGGGAGGCGGUGCAGUAGACAGUAGGAUGGUCACGAAGGCGGCCACACUGCGCAGGAGCGACUGGAGCCGGAGUGGUCCGUUGUUAGCCAGGAUCGGCUGUUGCUGAUGAUGCUGCGGGCAUGUGGAUGAGUACGUGGAUCUCAACGUGAAACGUCCACCAGCAAGGCACGGCCUGGCGUUGCGCACUGCACUGCUAUGUGAUGUUGUUGAAUAUGAAGUGCACUCAAACCGGGAUGCAUGCCAUCCGCGUUGUAUCCCCUUGUAUGGUCCGACGAGGUUUCGCGUACGUCCAGGUUCGUGUGAUCAUCUCUCUCUCUCUCAUAUUUUUUGUGCAGCUCAACAGCGAGGGAGAUUUGCAAGUGGUCAAAAUUCUGGUGCUAUCAUUGCUAUGUAAUAAGACAAGGUUUCUCCUGAUCCUCUUUCUUCUUGAUAAUCCAUAUAGGGAUUGCUUCUGUCGAUUAUUUUGAAGCCUUUUCUUGUAGACUAAAGGUUCAUAGAUGGCCACUAACUGAUUGGUGUUAUUUAGCUUCAGGUUCAUUUUUGUGCUCUUAAGGUAUAGUAUCCCUUCCAUCAUUGCUGCAAACAUUUACUAUCUGUCCUUGGUGCAGGAAUUUGCAACCGUUAAUCCAUGGCGGUUCCGGUGUGGGAUAUAUUCUUCAUGGUUCCGUGUCCUUUGCUGCAUCUGCUGUUAAUUUGAUGAUAUGGUUUUUGGGAUGACCAUGAUUUACUCCCUUCUAAUAUUUGUUCUAUGCAAGCAUCAAGACUAAAUAAUAUGGGUUUACCCCCUUAUCAUAUUUGUUGUAUGUAGGCAUCAAUACUAGAGAUAUGGUUUUAACCCCUUCUCAUAUUAAUUUUUUUGAACGAUCCCUUCUCAUAUUUAUUGUAUGGAUGCAUCAAGCUAUGAUGAAUUUGGAUGACAUACUAUUAACUUACAUAAUAAGACCCUUGCGAGGUGAAAAGCCGGAAGCAAUUGCAAGGCAUUAACAAUCUGUUUUUCUUACUGAAGCUGAACAACUGCCCCAUAUACAAGCUCUAUCAUGUUAACUACUGAUGUGAACUUCCUCAGCUAUCAUUUCAUUACGAACACAAAACCAAUGGGCGGUCAAACAAGGAUGCCUUGAAUUACCAAGGAAUCAGAAAUUUAUCAUGCAAUAUCAAUAUGUAUUCUCUUUAUGUACAAUUAAUGUAUUGACUCUUUUAUUCAAUAAAAUUUUUCUUUAUGAAAGAUUAUAGCAUUUGUACCAAUAUAAUUUUUUUACAUACACCAUAAUAUAAAAUUUGAAGUGAACACGUAAAAAGUGAAUAAAAUAAUUAAAUAAUUGGUAUAUGAAGUUUAAUAUUAUUGUACAUAGAAUUUCUCACAUAAAGUAUCAAUAGGCGCGGCGUGCCACCGCACGGGCAUGAAAAUUCAACAUGUCUCGCCAGCAAGUAAGUGCCCAACAGAAUGAAUUUGCAAGACAAACAAUGAUCUUGGCGAUAAUAUGCAAUGAUUUCUCCGAUGUGGCACUUCUUCGCAUGUACCCCAACGUCCUCAGAGAGAUGAUCCCAUCAUUACAUACAAAAGGAGUUAAGACACCCGUUGGACAGGUAGAGGAAUUUGCAAAAGCUCUUGACUACUUCAUUACAAACUAUCUUACAGGGGGCUACACUAGGAUGAUUUAACUCAACUAGGCCAUCCGCAAUCAUUUACUUUCAUGCAGUUGCAUCAUUGUAUAUGGUAUGUUUCAUAGAACGGUCUCUAUAAUGUGCUAAUAAGUAGACCUUAUUAGUAGCGUGUACACUUUUUCGUUCAUCAGUAUUUAUCAUACAUGGCUGCAAUAAAUGUACUCAUUUUUCACCUUUUAGAACUCUUUUUGGGUUUUAGUUAUGCGAUUCUGUCAUUAAAAAUAUAAGAAUGGCCUUUACGAUCCGUAUAAAUAUAAUGCAUCACCAGGCGCGGUGUGCCGCUGCUAUGCUAGUUGAUACGAGACGCGACGCGACGCACCGAUGGGCAGGUUAGGUGGGCGUUAUGUGCGUGUAUGGAUGGAUGGAUGGGCGGGCGGUUCUCUGCCCUCCAACGUAUGCUACCUCUGCAUGCGGUCGCGGUCACGGCCAGAUCGUCCAAUUCAUCAUGGCCGAGUUGAUCGACGCUCAACCGUUCUGUCAUCUUGUUAUGGUCUGGUAGAUCAGCGGAGAACGAAGUAUUUGAUUUCUCUGAUGGGGAACGGAGAUGGCUUGCUUUUGCUUUGUGUCGUUGUCGCAGUCCUUGGCGUUGAUCUCAGAUCAGAUCGAGCAGUGAGUGGAACCAAUGGAGCAUGGAGGCCGUGGAAAAUGGAUAGGGGAAAUCCAUGGAAUUGUCCUCAUCUCACCCAGGAAAAGGAAUAGUAGUGACCUAGCAGCUAGCUUUUCAGUGAGACCGGCAGCUAGCUUUUCAGUGCGCGCGCCAGUUUUACUUUACCUGCACUGCACGCGGAGGAUCGAAGAAUACUGUGGCAGCACGUUUGAGGCUCAGACGUGGGACCGGCCGGUCAGUGCAGACGAUACCUUUUUUUUCUUGAGAAAAAGGUGCAGAGGAAGGCCCAACAUCUUGGGGAUAAUGAAUGACUGAUUGGCCCAACGCUGCAAAGCAAAAAGGAAAAGUAGCCCAAUUGGUGAAGUAAGCAGGCUGCUGCCGCUGGCGAGAACUCUUGGGCCACUUCAGGAAUGCUCCAGCUCUUGGGGGCUCCGCCAUCCACGCGGGUGCGUCUAUAGCUCGCCCGCAGCGACCGUGAGCGUCAUCUCACCUCUACGCGACGCGCUACUAAGCCGGCAUGUUAGUUGCUAUGAACGUUAGUUUAUUCGGAAUCACUAGUUAAGAAGUAUUUUUUGGAAAGGUCACUUCCAUAUUCCCAGGCUGGGAUGCCAUUGGUCUCAAUCUGGAGUUUUUUUUCUUCAUAAAUUCGUUUAUUCGAAAUGUUUUAUCUCUUAAACCGUGCGUCUAAAUCUCAAAUCGUUUUCAUCAUUGAAUUCCUCGUGUUGAGAUCUUUAAAACUAGAUCCAAUGUUGAUAGGUUUUGAUGAAUUUUAUUUUUUUAAAAGGACAAAAAUAUCGAACCGAAGCACUUUUUUUUCAUUUCCGAGGUGCCUCCCGUGGAAGCAAAUCCGGCUCUCACGGAAGGGAAAAUGCGUUUUUUUUCGUUUCUGAGAGGCACAUCUCGCAGAAGAAAAUCCGUGCCACUUGCGGAAGAAAAAAAAACCGUUGUUUUUCCAUUCUCGAGAGGCACGGCUGGAAACAAAUCCGUGCCUCUCACGAAAGGUAAAAAAGAGAAAAACAUGUUUUUUUUUGUUUCUGAGAGGCAUGACUAUGCCUUUCGCGGAACGAUUUUUUUUUAAGUUUCCGAGAGGCACAACUCUGUCCCUCGCUGAAGCAAAUCCGUGUAUCUCACGAAAAAAAACGAAAACGCGUUUUUUCCAUUUCCUAGAGUAAUAACUGUGCCACUCGCGGAAGCAAAUCCAUGUCUUUCGCGGAAGGGAACAAAAGGAAAACGGGUUUUUUUUUCAUUCCAAAAGGCACGACUGUGCCUCUCGAGAAAGAAAAAAAAAUUAAAACAUUUUUUUUCCGUUUCUGAGAGGCAUGACUCAUGGAAGCAAAUCAAUGCCUCUCGCGAAAAGGGGAAAAUGUGUUUUUUUUUCAUUUCCGAGAUGCACGUCUCGCAGAAGCAAAUCCGUGCCUCUUGCGUCAGUUUUCGAGAGGCACGACUCCGGCUCUCGUGGAAGCAAAUCCGUGCAUCUAGCGGAAAAAGAAAGAAAAUGCGUUUUUUCCCGUUUCCUAGAGAUACGAUUGUGUCUCUCGCGAAAGGAAAAAAAACAUUUUUUUCGUUUUCGAAAGACACGACUGUGCCUCUCGUGAAAAAAAAGUUUAAAACACAUUUUUUUUCUGUUUCCGAGAGGCAUAACUAUGUCUGUCGCGGAAGCAAAUCCAUGCUUCUCACGGAAGGGGGAAAAACGUGAUUUUUCCAUUUUCAAGAGGCAAAUCCGUGUCUCUUGCGGAAGCAAAUCCGUGCAUCUCGUGAAAUAAAAAAAAUAAUUUUUCGCGCUACAUUUUUUAUUCGAAUAUUUUCUCCAAAACCUAAGAAAGACAGGGGAAAAACCAAAUAGCUGUGCCUCUCGAGAAAGAAAAAAAAUUAAAACAUUUUUUUUCCGUUUCUGAGAGGCAUGACUCAUGGAAGCAAAUCAAUGCCUCUCGCGAAAAGGGGAAAAUGUGUUUUUUUUUUCAUUUCCAAGAUGCACGUCUCGCAGAAGCAAAUCCGUGCCUCUUGCGUCAGUUUUCGAGAGGCACGACUCCGGCUCUCGUGGAAGCAAAUCCGUGCAUCUAGCGGAAAAAGAAAGAAAAUGCGUUUUUUCCCGUUUCCUAGAGAUACGAUUGUGUCUCUCGCGAAAGGAAAAAAACAUUUUUUUCGUUUUCGAAAGACACGACUGUGCCUCUCGUGAAAAAAAAGUUUAAAACACAUUUUUUUUCUGUUUCCGAGAGGCAUAACUAUGUCUGUCGCGGAAGCAAAUCCAUGCUUCUCACGGAAGGGGAAAAACGUGAUUUUUCCGUUUUCAAGAGGCAAACCCGUGCAUCUCGUGAAAUAAAAAAAAUGAUUUUUCGCGCUACAUUUUUUAUUCGAAUAUUUUCUCCAAAACCUAAGAAAGACCGGGGAAAAACCAAAUAGCCNNNNNNNNNNNNNNNNNNNNNNNNNNNNNNNNNNNNNNNNNNNNNNNNNNNNNNNNNNNNNNNNNNNNNNNNNNNNNNNNNNNNNNNNNNNNNNNNNNNNNNNNNNNNNNNNNNNNNNNNNNNNNNNNNNNNNNNNNNNNNNNNNNNNNNNNNNNNNNNNNNNNNNNNNNNNNNNNNNNNNNNNNNNNNNNNNNNNNNNNNNNNNNNNNNNNNNNNNNNNNNNNNNNNNNNNNNNNNNNNNNNNNNNNNNNNNNNNNNNNNNNNNNNNNNNNNNNNNNNNNNNNNNNNNNNNNNNNNNNNNNNNNNNNNNNNNNNNNNNNNNNNNNNNNNNNNNNNNNNNNNNNNNNNNNNNNNNNNNNNNNNNNNNNNNNNNNNNNNNNNNNNNNNNNNNNNNNNNNNNNNNNNNNNNNNNNNNNNNNNNNNNNNNNNNAGCACCUAGAGCGCGAGACGUGACAGCGACUAAGACCACCCAAGUUGCGCGCUCUCAGCCCACCCAGGUGACCCUUGCGGGGGCUCCCAAAGGAAUACUCUUCCGUUAGCUUCUUCGCUCUUUUUGUUUCUUUCAUUUUAAUCUUUUUUUCUAUGCCUAAAAAAUCUUUUUUUCUACUUUGUUUGUAUUGUUUAAAAAUAGAUAUUUAGAAAUUGCUUUACUUUGAUUUUUUAAAACGUUCAUCCUACACUUAAAAUAUGUUCAUGUAGCAUAAAAAUAUUGUCCGCAUAACUAUUAAAAAAUGAUGAUAACUUUCGAAGAAAAUGUUGUGACAUCUGCAAAAUGUUCAAGGUGAAAAAAAUGUUGAUGACUGUAUUAAAAAAAUGUUUACACAAUGUACAAGGAAUGUUUGCACAUUUUUAAAAAAUGUUACCAUUCGGAAAAAGUCUUUGCGGCAUUUAAAAAACCUUCAUGUGUGUCAAAAAACUGUUAGUGGUUUAAAAAAAAAAUUACACUAUGUAGAAAAUAUGGUCGCAUAACAUAUAAAAAUGUUUCUUCCAUUAAAAAAAUCACGCAUUUUGAAAAAUGUUUAACAUGUGCAAACACUGUUUUACAUUAUAUAAAAAAAAUCCAUGAACAUUUGUAUUGGAACGUCUGAACAUUUCGUGGAUUUGUUUAUGCUUAUUAAAAUGUUAACAAAUGUUGGCAUCAUUUGGAAAAAUACAUUUUGUACCAUUAAAAAAAUGUUUGCAGCAUUUAGAAAAUCACACAUUUUGAAAUAUGUUCCUGAAAUAUUAAAAAAAUAACACGAUAUUAAAUAUGGUAAGCAUAAUAUAAAAAAAGAUCAUACCAUUCAAGAAAAUGUUCAACAUGAUUUCAAUUUUAUUUAACGUUUAUUUGAAGAACAUGUUGCAAACAUGUACUUGAAAAAAGUUAACCAUGUAUUUGAAAAAUGUUUGCCGCGUAUAUAUAAAAUGGUACUCUUGUACAUGAAAAUGUGCAACAUAUAUUGAAAAAAAUCAACAAAAAUAAAGAAAAAUAAAGGCCGGAAUACUGAAAAAACCUGUAGAGAAACACAGAAAACCAACACAAAAAAGGAAAGCCAAAGAAAAAUAAAAUGGAAAAAAGAAAAACUGAAAUAGGGUUAAGAAACACAGAGCACCGAAAAUCAGAAAAAAACCAAUGAAAACCACCAGUGAAAACACUAAGAGAAAAGCCAUGCGAAAACAUAUCAUAGAGGCUUCCUUGAAAACCGCUCCGCCAAGACCUGCAUUGGGCCGACCCAUCUGGCUCUCGUAUUAGGCGAGAUAUAGCUCCCGCGCAACUCCAUGACCAAACCGCCCUAACUCUAGAAUCCGGUAAUAAGAAGCUGGAGGUGAUGUGCAUUACUAAAGCAAAG